Mesocricetus auratus (golden hamster) is the source of this 611-nucleotide long non-coding RNA. RefSeq lists it as uncharacterized. Lineage: Eukaryota; Metazoa; Chordata; Mammalia; Rodentia; Cricetidae. The transcript is spliced from 3 exons. The record is from RefSeq and is a predicted model, not a curated record.
AGUCGAGAUGUAACACCAUGGGGUAGGAAGCCCGGAAACUUCUCUGGCCUUCUAGAUCAUGGAGUAUUGUUUGACCUGCACCAGAGUUGCUGAACUUAAUAACUGGAUGGGCAGCUGGUAUGCUGCUAAUACUGGAUAUGUCAGCUUCAAACUAAACCUGUCCUUGUGGUAGACAUGGGAUCCAAAGCCUCCUUUCCAACCAACAGGAGAGCAAGAAGAGAGUUUCUUGGUGUCUUUUAGAUUGAGCUGUAGAUGAAGUUACAGCAGACUGGUCAUCAUCCUUAAUCCACAAAAAAGAAACCAAAUGAAACAAACAGACAACAAAAAACAAAGUUGGGAGUACAGCUCAUUUUGGCAAGAAUUUGUGAAAGAAGGGUAAGGUGAAAAGUUAAGUAAAAAGAGGAUAUAAAAGAAACCAAGGGGCGGUGGGAGAGAGUUGAGUGGGGGUGGACUGAAAACUUCACCCAUUGAGGUUCCUAUGUAACGAUGUUAAAGAAAGUUCUUAAUGAAGGUCCCAGUCUGCUGAGAAUAGCAGUCACUGACCCUUUGUCUUGGCUCUGCCUUAUCUUAGAAGGGCUCCUUUGCUUAGUAAACUCUCUCUGCUUCUACAA